CCAGUUUCUUCCUCAAGAAAUGUCAACUCAAAAUCAGGGAAGUGCUUAUAGCCAAACAACACAGCCAGGUAUCUAUGGUCAACAGGCACAAUCAAGUGCUAAUAUGUACAGCCAACCGACACAGCCAAGUGCUAAUCCAUACGGCCAACCUGCACAGCCUGGUGCUAACGCAUAUGACCAAGUUGGACAACCUAGUUCUAAUGCAUAUAGCCAAUCUGUGCAGCCGAGUGUUAACCUUUAUAGCCAACCGCCACAGCUGGGUGCUAAUCCCUACAGCCAACCUGCACAGUUUAACUCUGGGAACCUCUCACGGCAGGGUUCUCUUGUUCCAGUUUCUUCACAGGGUGCUCACCAGAUCACAAAUUCACCCGCUGUACAAAAUAAUAAUGAUUUCCUAAGUGGCUUAAUUUCAGAACCAGGGUCAAAGCCAGCACAGACAGUCACUCCCACAUCAACAGGAGCACUUGCUAUAGUUCCACAACCCUCAAAGGAUAAAUUUGAGCUUAAGUCGGCGGUUUGGGCUGAUACAUUAAGCAGAGGAUUGGUGAAUUUGAACAUAUCUGGACGUAAGUAAACAUUCUUCUUCUCUAAAAAUUGUCAUCAAGUAUGUCCUUUCUGCAUGAUCUAACUUUAUUGUUUUCGGUAUGCAGCUAAAACAAAUCCGUUGGCUGAUAUUGGAGUCGACUUCGAUGCUCUUAAUCGGAAGGAAAAAAGGAUGGAAAAACCUGCCCCAAAUGCAGUGACAUCUACAGUUACAAUGGGUAAAGCAAUGGGAUCUGGGUCUGGGAUUGGUCGUUCUGGUGCUACCACUCUUAGACCUCCCGCAAAUCCUAUGAUGGGUUCUAGUAUGGGUAGCAUGGGCAUGGGCAUGGGCAUGGGAAUGGGUGGUGGACCUGUUGGAGGCAUGGGAAUGGGAGGAGGCUAUGGUGGUAUGAAUCAACAACCAAUGGGCAUGGGGAUGGGGAUGGGGAUGAACAACAUGGGCAUGAAUCCAGGCAUGGGGAUGAAUAUGGGAAUGGGACAAAGACCCCAAAUGCAAGGAAUGCCUGGCGGUUAUAACCCUAUGAUGGGAUCUGGAGGCUAUUCUCAACAGCCAUACGGUGGUGGUUAUCGAUGAGAAUGGAUUCCCAUCCCAAAGAAGAGGAGUAAGGAAAUUACAUACAAGGCUGUGAUAUAAGGGUAAAAAUGAGAUGGGAAAAUAGCUAAAACAUUAGAUGUGGGGAAUGGAAUCCCAAAGUAGAAGCAGUAGAGUCGCACAUUUGUGUUGGCAGAUCGGAACCAUGUUUUUUAUUCAUAUAAUUGUCAUUCUUGGUUAAGCUAUUGCAGUGUUUGGGCCAUAAUCACUCCUCCCAUUGAUUACUGGUUUGAGCUGUUGUGAAAUUGUGUGGAUGAUGAUGACCUUUCUCGGCUUUGCAUUUUUUGUCUUAAUAUUCUUCCCUAUAAUAUAUAUAUUUUUUAUGGUAAAAAAAAUAAACUAAUCCUUCAAUUUUAUUGGAAACUGUAGUAAUUUCACUUUAUCUGUUACAGAAGCAGCAAUAGCUAGAUUGACGAAGCCUGUUGAAUAUUUUCUUUUCAAAAUUAUUUGCUAAGGUAUGAUGAAGCUUCAUUUCUGUAAUUAAGGUCCAAUAUCUUAUUUUAUUAAUUUUUUUAAUCAAUUUCUGCAAUAAAAUUUUAAUAUGCAAUCCAUUAGAAAUAUGUUUGUGUUUUUUUGAAAGAGACAAGUCCCUGUUACUUGAAAUAUUCGUGUUCUUUAUCAAAUACAUAGAGCUGAAGCAUCCACAACAAAUACAUAAUCAAAUGCUAAACCUAAUUUGAAUGUGCAGCAAAAGAGAGAGAAUUUUAGAUAAAGUUGUAUUUUCAAGUAAAUUUAUAUAAAGAAACAAAGAAAAGCAUUCAAAAAAAAAUAAAAAGUCUAAAAUCAACCAUCAAACAUCACAAGUUUCAGCUUCACAUUAUUACAUGACUUCUAUUUAAAACUUAAAUGGUCAGAAAAAUUAAAGUACAAUGACAACAACUAACAUCCCAAGUAACAAGAUAAAGAUCAGAUCCUGUUUUUCAGUCUAAGAGUUUUCUUGUGUUGGAACUAAGAACAAAGAUGAAUGAAAAAUAACAGAAGCUUGAGCUUGAAGGCUCGAUGGCUUGCUGAGCAAACAAAACAGAAUCGGGCUUGAAAGACAAGAGAAAACAAGAAAAGAGAGUUUUUUAUGAUGAAUCUUUGAUGAAUUUUUCAUUAACUUGAAAGAUGGCAUAUUGCCAAUACAUAUACCAGACAUAAGCUGGUCAAGAUGAAACAAAGUUACCUAAACAUCUACCUAACUCCACUGAGUAGCAUUGUAACUUGUUAAACAAAACUUGCACACUUGGUAAAGCUGAUUUAUCAGCUCAAACAUCAACAAAUUACAUCAAGUACAUUAACAAACUAGUUCUAAUCUAACUAAGUUACUAUCAUUUGAAACUAACAAAAUGAACAGCAGCAUGAACUUCAGCUGCAACUGCUUGGCUCGGGCAACUUCUCUGCUUCUUGUCUGCAUGCAGGCCAGCUUCAACAGUUUCAUUUUUUCUUCUAAAGUUGUAUAUUUGAAAAGCGUCUAAAACAAAAUUGAUAGUUAAAAAGGAAUGAAUUAUUGAAAUCCUGUGUACAAUAGAAAGGGUAGCAUAAAGGUAUUAGGGUGAAUUUGUUGCCAUACUAAAAUUUUUAGGGGAUAUUGUUCCUGAUUCAGGAUUUUGAUGAUCCAUUUGGCGAUAAUCCUUUUAAAGCUGUCCCUUCAACUGACUCUGCUCCAGCUGUACAACAAAUUUCCACUUCCAUGCCUACUUUCCAGCCUGCUACAAACCAAAAUGAAGUAGCUCCUCAGCCACCUUCUGCAAGUUCCAAGACAGUCACAAAUUUUGACUUUGGGAACUCAUUCUCUGCAAAUGCUUAUUCUGCACCCAAUGGCGCAAACUCCCAGUUUCUUCCUCAAGAAAUGUCAACUCAAAAUCGGGGAACUGCUUAUAGCCAAACAAUACAGCCAGGUAUCUAUGGUCAACAGGCACAAUCAAGUGCUAAUAUGUACAGCCAACCGACACAGCCAAGUGCUAAUCCAUAUGGCCAACCUGCACAGCCUGGUGCUAACGCAUAUGACCAAGUUGGACAACCUAGUUCUAAUGCAUAUAGCCAAUCUGUGCAGCCGAGUGUUAAUCCUUAUAGCCAACCGCCACAGCCAGGUGCUAAUCCCUACAGCCAACCUGCACGGUUUAACUCUGGGAACCUAUCACGGCAGGGUUCUCUUGUUCCAGUUUCUUCACAGGGUGCUCACCAGAUCACAAAUUCACCCGCUGUACAAAAUAAUAAUGAUUUCCUAAGUGGCUUAAUUUCAGAACCAGGGUCAAAGCCAGCACAGACG
This 3386-nucleotide long non-coding RNA is filed under the name Gossypium raimondii (Peruvian cotton). RNAcentral's name for it is "long non-coding RNA (GRAI_LNC003362)". Lineage: Eukaryota; Viridiplantae; Streptophyta; Magnoliopsida; Malvales; Malvaceae. The record is from RNAcentral.